Molecule: long non-coding RNA, 682 nt
Organism: Dama dama (fallow deer)
Lineage: Eukaryota; Metazoa; Chordata; Mammalia; Artiodactyla; Cervidae
Exons: 4
Source: RefSeq, a predicted model, not a curated record
ACUGGGAGCCGGAGAUCCUUCAGUUUGCAAAUCAGAUGUCGCCUGCGGGGCUCAGAAUGCCUUGCUCUGAGGAAGAAAAGUGUAAAAUUCGACUCGCCCCCUUGCGGAGCUUACGUGAAUAAUGUUAGCAGCUAACAUUUAUGAAGCACUAUGUCAGGAACUGUUCCCAGGUUUAUUAACUUGUUUAGAGUUCACAAGAACCUUACGAGACGGGCCAUUUGUACGGCGCGGGUCAUCAUUUGUACAUGAAGAAUCCAAAGCUCCCGAUACGGUGUUAUCAGCCAGAGCCCUUGACCACCUGCUCCGAAAUCCAUCAUUCUGCGCAGCAUCCUGAAAGAUGGAGGGAAGUACUUGGGAAGAUCCCCUGGAGAAGAAAAUGGCAAAACCCACUCCAGUAUUCUUGCCUGGAAAACCCCAUGGACGGAGGAGCCUGGCAGGCAUCUUUCAAGAGCAUGAAAACAAUACCUCUAAAAUCAGAAACAAGAAAAGGACGCCCACUCUUAUGCAACGUAUUGGAAGCUCUAGUCAGAGCAAUUAAACAAAAGAGAGAGAGAGAUGAAAGGCAUUCAAAUUGGAAAGGAAGAUGUAAAGCUGUCACAAUUUAUGGAUGACUUGAUUUUGUAUAGAGAAAAGCCUACAAAAAAACUAUUUGAAAUAAUAAAAUUGCAGAGUACAAAAUCAA